This is a non-coding RNA of Vicugna pacos (alpaca), 95 nucleotides long. NCBI's taxonomy places the organism in Eukaryota, Metazoa, Chordata, Mammalia, Artiodactyla, Camelidae. The record is from RefSeq and is a predicted model, not a curated record.
GCUCUUCAGAUCUGCCUUGUGGUCGGGGGAUGAUGCUUUCCCAUCUCAACCCUCUUAAAAUCAGCAGUCCAAAAGAGAAAAAAAAAGUACUAAGA